UAAGGGGCAGCUGCGCCUCUUUGCCUCUUCCUCCCAUUUCCUCUCUUAGAAAAAAUGCCAAACUCCUUCAGCCGAAAGUGAACUUUGUUUUCACCAUUUUUGUGCAGAGGGGACUUUUCUAGGUGCGUCUCUAUAUCGUUUUCCCGUUUUCAUGCUUCAAGGUAUGACAAAUCUCUCCAUUCCAGUCAAGGUAUCACCAUAUCGGGGUAAGUCGGAGAUCCAAAAGCCCCGUUCACUGCACCGCAAAAAGGUCGGUAAACCGUCCUUUCUUGUUCCAUUGUAAUUUUCGAUACAUUUAAGAUUCUCUGUAUACUGUGCAUCGUCGUUAGUUUUUUUCCAGCGUUGUUUAUUUUUGUACUAUGAAAAGAGAUAUCCGACGUGUUUAUUCUAAAUCUUUGGUGGUGUGAGUAUGAGUCUACAUUUUGUGUUUGCUGCUUCAUUAGGAGUAUUUUGUUAGUUGCUGUCUAUAUGGAAAUGAUUUUAUUAGGAUUCAUAUUUUUUUUUUAAAAGCAUUUGACUCUUAUAGAGAAUGCCUUUAUUUGAAGUUGAUGUACGAACAAGUGCCAAUCAAUAUACUUAAAUGUCUUUGAUGGAAUGUACGGUCCUCUGUUUCACCGUAAUGUUAAAGUAUUGAACUUCAUAUAUUAGUUCCCAUCUUAAUGUAUUAAUAUAGUUUCAUUAUUUCAUCAUUGUUUUGUUAGAAGGUUUUAGGAUGAUUCUUUUAGUCACAGUCCUUUUUUGCAAGAGUUAGACAAAAGUGGAAAGUCAAGUCUAUCAAAAGCCUAAACCUCUUUCAUGGUUUUUUUUCUUUACUGUUAAAUAUGAUAUUCUAUUUGGAGUAUGUAUAACCACACUUGUUUUGUUAAAUGUUUAGGAAUCAUGUUUAAUAAGGUUUUCCUGGUUAUAUAUUCUUUAGCUGCUAUGGUUGUAAAUCGUUUUCGUAUUUGGCUUUGAGUGUUUUUUUUUAAUAGCCCUUAUGAGGCUGCCGCUAAUCUUUAUUUAUUUUUCUUUACAUGUCUACUUUUGAGCAAAUGGAGUCUUAAUUCGGGACAUACUCUCGACAUAUCCGUGCUUGGAGUUGUCGUUCAUCAUCUUCCCUAGAAUGCCCGGAACAACGAGAAAACUUGCAAAACAUUUGGGGUCGCCUAUGGCGUCCUUUCUUCUUUAUCGUUCAUUAUAUCUCUUUAGGGAUUAUUAGCUUAUCUGUGUGUGAUUUGAUUUUAUCUCAAGUUUGAGAUUGUCUAUUAUGACCCUUUUUUUUAUUUUUUUAUUUUUUUAUUUUUUACGUUAGAUUAGUAACUAAGUUUAUUUAAUUAUUCGGGAUCGUUAAUCUAAUUGGUUAAAAGACAUAUCGAAUUUUCAGCAUUUUUUGGUCA
This is a long non-coding RNA of Lycium barbarum (goji berry), 1376 nucleotides long. RefSeq lists it as uncharacterized. Lineage: Eukaryota; Viridiplantae; Streptophyta; Magnoliopsida; Solanales; Solanaceae. The record is from RefSeq and is a predicted model, not a curated record. The transcript is spliced from 2 exons.